ACAUACGACCAUAGGCAGUAGAGAAUUCGGGAUCCCGUCCGCUCUCCCUUAGACAAGCUACUGACCGCCGGACUAGUACUCAGGUCGGUGACGACUGGGGAAUCCCCGGUGUUGUAUGUC
This 120-nucleotide ribosomal RNA is filed under the name Thermothelomyces thermophilus ATCC 42464. The record is from RNAcentral. Lineage: Eukaryota; Fungi; Ascomycota; Sordariomycetes; Sordariales; Chaetomiaceae.